This is a non-coding RNA of Schistosoma curassoni, 45 nucleotides long. The record is from Rfam. Lineage: Eukaryota; Metazoa; Platyhelminthes; Trematoda; Strigeidida; Schistosomatidae.
AUCCAGCUGACGAGUCCCAGAUCGGACGAAACGAGCGUCCUAGAU